AAUUAGAUACCCCACUAUAUGGAACGAAAAUAACCGUCGAAGCACUAAGGCCCUCAGGCUAAAACUUAAUAGGCAUGGCGGCAGACCAGACUUCUCAGGGGAAUUUACCUGGUAAUUGAUAACCCUCAUGGUGCCCCUCACAACCAAUAUCGUUUGUAUACCGCCGUCUACAGAUACCGUCUAAGACUGUAUCGAUUUUCUACCGGAAUAAAGACAGGUCAUGGCGCAGCCUAUGGUUGUGUGCAAGGUGAGUUACAAUCACUAAUUGUGUCGAAUACGGAAGUUAAACAAUCCCGUAGAAGAAGGACUUGAAAGUAAAGUAUUAGGGAAGUAUAUCUUGAAUAGUCCUCUGAUCUGUGUACACACCGCCCGU
This 373-nucleotide ribosomal RNA is filed under the name Pythia sp. PER-2015. RNAcentral describes it as "partial 12S ribosomal RNA". The record is from RNAcentral. Lineage: Eukaryota; Metazoa; Mollusca; Gastropoda; Ellobiida; Ellobiidae.